Molecule: ribosomal RNA, 411 nt
Filed under: Isogenoides hansoni
Lineage: Eukaryota; Metazoa; Arthropoda; Insecta; Plecoptera; Perlodidae
Description: partial 12S ribosomal RNA
Rfam family: Microsporidia small subunit ribosomal RNA (bases 51-411)
Source: RNAcentral
UAAACUACGAUUAGAUACCCUAUUAUUUUAAAUGUGAAGUGUUUACACUUGAGUAGUAAAAGUUAUGGUCUUGAAACUCAAAGAAUUUGGCGGUGUUUUAGUCUUUUCAGAGGAACCUGUCCCAUGAUCGAUAUUCCACGAUAGACCUCACUUAAUCUAGUUAUCAGUUUAUAUAUCGCCGUCGUCAGAGUGUCUUAUAAGAGUUUCAACAUUCUUUAAUCUAAAUUAUCUGUAGAAAGAUGUCAGGUCAAGGUGUAGCUAAUGGUUAAGUGGAGAUGGGUUACAAUAAGUUUAUUUACUACGGAUGGUUUAUUGAAAUUAUAGACUUGAAGGUGGAUUUGAAAGUAAUUUUAUAUAGAAUAAUAUAUUGAUUUAGGCUCUAAAACAUGCACACAUCGCCCGUCGCUCUUA